GCCCUCGUAGCUCAGUUGGAUAGAGCAACGGAUUUCUAAUCCGUAGGUCCAAGGUUCGAAUCCUUGCGGGGGUG
Molecule: transfer RNA, 74 nt
Filed under: Pirellula sp.
Lineage: Bacteria; Pseudomonadati; Planctomycetota; Planctomycetia; Pirellulales; Pirellulaceae
Also listed under: 1 other name
Description: tRNA-Arg
Rfam family: tRNA
About the family: Transfer RNA (tRNA) molecules are approximately 80 nucleotides in length. Their secondary structure includes four short double-helical elements and three loops (D, anti-codon, and T loops).
Source: RNAcentral